Molecule: ribosomal RNA, 640 nt
Filed under: uncultured bacterium
Lineage: Bacteria
Description: bacterial SSU rRNA
Rfam family: Bacterial small subunit ribosomal RNA
Source: RNAcentral
AGCGGAGAUAGUCCCUUCGGGGGUUAUUUUAGCGGCGGACGGGUGAGUAACACGUGGGUAACCUGCCUAUCACAGGGGAAUAACAAUGAGAAAUCAUUGCUAAAGCCCCAUAAGCUCCCGGCACCGCAUGGUGCAGCGAGAAAAUAUUUAUAGGUGAGAGAGGGGCCCGCGUCUGAUUAGCUAGUUGGUAGGGUAAAAGCCUACCAAGGCGACGAUCAGUAGCCGACCUGAGAGGGUGACCGGCCACAUUGGGACUGAGACACGGCCCAAACUCCUACGGGAGGCAGCAGUGGGGAAUAUUGCACAAUGGGGGAAACCCUGAUGCAGCAACGCCGCGUGAAGGAUGAAGGGUUUCGGCUCGUAAACUUCUUUAGGCAGGGAAGAAAGAAAUGACGGUACCUGCAGAAUAAGCACCGGCUAAAUACGUGCCAGCAGCCGCGGUAAUACGUAUGGUGCAAGCGUUAUCCGGAAUUACUGGGUGUAAAGGGUGAGUAGGCGGUGAGAUAAGUCAUAUGUGAAAGCCCCGGGCUUAACCCGGGGAUUGCAUAAGAAACUGUCUGACUAGAGUACAGGAGAGGUAAGCGGAAUUCCUAGUGUAGCGGUGAAAUGCGUAGAUAUUAGGAAGAACACCAGUGGCGAA